RNAcentral lists this unclassified non-coding RNA (304 nucleotides) under Hevea brasiliensis (rubber tree). The record is from RNAcentral. Lineage: Eukaryota; Viridiplantae; Streptophyta; Magnoliopsida; Malpighiales; Euphorbiaceae.
UUGUUCUUGGUGGAUCUCUUUAGUUGCUUCUUCACCUGAGAUAUUGUCAAUAGCACCUUGGAGAAGGUUCUCAACUGUUCCUUUUUCUGUGCUAUUCUGUUUCUGAAUUGUCUCACUUGAAUCGACCUUUCAUUCCUUGUUUAACUCUUCGUUUUGUGCUUCCUUUGCUAGUAUCUUGUCUCCUGGAAUUUCUUCACCCUUCAUCUCAUUUUCUUGUUGGAUUGUUUUAUUUGCUUCUUCAACCAAGAUAUUGUCAACCACAGCUCGUUGAAGGAUCUCAAUUGUUCCUUUUUCUGUGUUGACC